GAACGCUAGCUACAGGCUUAACACAUGCAAGUCGAGGGGCAGCAUUUCAGUUUGCUUGCAAACUGGAGAUGGCGACCGGCGCACGGGUGAGUAACACGUAUCCAACCUGCCGAUAACUCGGGGAUAGCCUUUCGAAAGAAAGAUUAAUACCCGAUGGUAUAAUCAGACCGCAUGGUCUUGUUAUUAAAGAAUUUCGGUUAUCGAUGGGGAUGCGUUCCAUUAGGCAGUUGGUGAGGUAACGGCUCACCAAACCUUCGAUGGAUAGGGGUUCUGAGAGGAAGGUCCCCCACAUUGGAACUGAGACACGGUCCAAACUCCUACGGGAGGCAGCAGUGAGGAAUAUUGGUCAAUGGGCGCAGGCCUGAACCAGCCAAGUAGCGUGAAGGAUGACUGCCCUAUGGGUUGUAAACUUCUUUUAUAUGGGAAUAAAGUUUUCCACGUGUGGAAUUUUGUAUGUACCAUAUGAAUAAGGAUCGGCUAACUCCGUGCCAGCAGCCGCGGUAAUACGGAGGAUCCGAGCGUUAUCCGGAUUUAUUGGGUUUAAAGGGAGCGUAGGUGGACAGUUAAGUCAGUUGUGAAAGUUUGCGGCUCAACCGUAAAAUUGCAGUUGAUACUGGCUGUCUUGAGUACAGUAGAGGUGGGCGGAAUUCGUGGUGUAGCGGUGAAAUGCUUAGAUAUCACGAAGAACUCCGAUUGCGAAGGCAGCUCACUGGACUGCAACUGACACUGAUGCUCGAAAGUGUGGGUAUCAAACAGGAUUAGAUACCCUGGUAGUCCACACAGUAAACGAUGAAUACUCGCUGUUUGCGAUAUACAGUAAGCGGCCAAGCGAAAGCAUUAAGUAUUCCACCUGGGGAGUACGCCGGCAACGGUGAAACUCAAAGGAAUUGACGGGGGCCCGCACAAGCGGAGGAACAUGUGGUUUAAUUCGAUGAUACGCGAGGAACCUUACCCGGGCUUAAAUCGCAUUUGAAUAUAUUGGAAACAGUAUAGCCGUAAGGCAAAUGUGAAGGUGCUGCAUGGUUGUCGUCAGCUCGUGCCGUGAGGUGUCGGCUUAAGUGCCAUAACGAGCGCAACCCUUAUCUUUAGUUACUAACAGGUCAUGCUGAGGACUCUAGAGAGACUGCCGUCGUAAGAUGUGAGGAAGGUGGGGAUGACGUCAAAUCAGCACGGCCCUUACGUCCGGGGCUACACACGUGUUACAAUGGGGGGUACAGAAGGCAGCUACCUGGUGACAGGAUGCUAAUCCCAAAAGCCUCUCUCAGUUCGGAUCGAAGUCUGCAACCCGACUUCGUGAAGCUGGAUUCGCUAGUAAUCGCGCAUCAGCCAUGGCGCGGUGAAUACGUUCCCGGGCCUUGUACACACCGCCCGUCAAGCCAUGAAAGCCGGGGGUACCUGAAGUACGUAACCGCAAGGAGCGUCCUAGGGUAAAACUGGUAAUUGGGGCUAAG
Molecule: ribosomal RNA, 1451 nt
Filed under: uncultured organism
Description: SSU rRNA
Rfam family: Bacterial small subunit ribosomal RNA
Source: RNAcentral